GCCGGGGUGGCUCAGUCGUUUGAGUGUCUGACUUCAGCUCAGGUCAUGAUUUCAUGGUUCGUGAGUUCAAGCCCCAUCUUGGGCU
Molecule: transfer RNA, 85 nt
Filed under: Felis catus (domestic cat)
Lineage: Eukaryota; Metazoa; Chordata; Mammalia; Carnivora; Felidae
Also listed under: 2 other names
Rfam family: tRNA
About the family: Transfer RNA (tRNA) molecules are approximately 80 nucleotides in length.
Source: Rfam by way of RNAcentral